UUGUAUCUGUUCACUGAUGAAAUAUGCAUGGUCAUUAGCACUGUGAUAGAUGUAGCCACUCAUUAGUGAAAUUUGUAUUGACCUUUUUGUAUUUAGAAACUGGACAAGGCCAUGAAAUCUGACAUCUGGCCUUGUUUGGGGCUGAAGGAUCAAAGUCACCUCCCUUGGUUCCUCCUUGAGCCCUGGCCAGGCUUUGGGAGGAACCCAAGAGGAUGAUGAAACCAGAUGUUCCUGCACUAGAAGUGCUGUCAGUUUGUUCAUUCAGCACUGUCAGAGCUGGGCCCUCUCACAGCGAGGCUGGAGCCUCACCUGUGGCUGGAGGCACCUGCAGGAAUUCCCAGUGUCCAGGAGUGGCUCUGCAGCCCUUGGCUGGGACAGCUUCCCCAGCUUCUGUGUGGAUCUGGAGGAUGGUGAAGUCUGAGGGUAAAUGAUGCUGGAUCUUUCUUAAUUACUGCUGCAAUCUUUGGUGGUGAUGGUUGGGUGCAUUGCUGAGCUGCUCCUUUUGUGAUUCUUUGCUGCUUUGAGCUGCAGUAAAUGACACUGAUUCCUUCAGUUGGUGCCUGUGUCUUUGGUGCUGACCCUGCCCACUGGUAAAACAAAACUGGCACAGUCGGGCCAGAUGACAAGAAAAUGUUAUUUUUAAAUGUAAAUGUGAGGAAUCAGUGCCAUCAGAAAUUCCCAGAUGGGAAGCCCUUCCCUGGAGUUGGCUGGCUCUGGAAUGGGCUGAGGUCAGAGCAGAUGUGAGCAGUGGGGCAGUCAGUUAAAAGAAGCUGAACCCCUGGAUGUCUUAAAAUGCAUCCAAAAAUUACAUAUGGAAUAAGGAAAAAAACUUGUGUUUUUGGAAGACAAGGGUGAAUUUUGUUAAUGACACAUUGGAAACAGCACCAACUGAAGGAAAAACUGUUGUUGGAACACUGCCACAUGGAGUGACAGAAGAAGGUUUCAAUCUUGAGCUCAGGUUUUUUUGUGCAAGUGAUAUAAUAAUAAUAAUGAUAUAUAACACAAUUAUCUAUAUUUAUAUCUGUAUUAUUAAAAAUUGAUAAUGUGAAAUAAGGCUGACAAUAAUUUGUCAGCUUUGGCUGCUCACUGUAAACACUAAAUACCCUGGAGAAAAGGACUGGUCAAACCCAAAUGUCAGUGGUAAACUUUGUGAAUUGUGCGUAAUGAAUAAAGGAGGAAGGGAUGAAAUUGGCAUUUUUUUAAUAGGAUUUGUUUAUACUGUGAUGCGGAAUGCUUUGUCUGUUAUUGUGAAAAAUACAGUGAUUAAGACUGCUGGGUUUUUCAUAUUCCAGACAAUCCACAAGGUGCAGCAUUGGUUAAAUGGGUGAAGGGGUUGUUAAAAGAGCAGUUGACAAAAUGAGGAGAUGGGAACCUGUCCCCAUGGAGACCCCAUCUCCCAGAUGUUCUCCAUGCCCUUAACAGUGGCCCACUGGGGAAAUGGAAACCCCUGGCUGUGCAUGGCUGCACCCAAAUUACAUUAACAAACUAAGUUGAUUAUUAGAAGUAGUAAAAAAUGAUGCUGUGAAAAUAUCCAAUAGUACAUCCUGUGAGCUCCAAAAAACACAAAUGGGGUUCUGCAGAACCACAUGGCCUUGGAUUAUCUGCUUGCUGGCCAGGGAGGAACCUGGGCUAUUCUAGGACAGGAAUGUUGCAGGGAUGUCUGUCAGGGCUGGGUUUGAUAUCCAACCAUCAGGAAUCUCCUUGAUAGCAAGAUCAGGAGAAGAGUGGCAGAAAGAAGAAAAUUCUUCCUGGUGGGAUUGGCUCCCAAAUUGGAAGCUGCUGUGAAAUGCAUUUGUGGCAGUCACUGUGAUCAUUGCAGUGUGAGCACUUGGUGUGUUAUGAAUCCAUGUUAGAGUAGUUGUGACACCUUGUGCUGGAAAUGGAGUACUGAGAUUUGUCUAAAAACAGACAUCGUCUCAAGAAAAAGUGGGCUGUAACAAAGAACAUAGAGAAUAACAACUAAUUAGGGCUGUUUUAGUCAGACCCUGCCUAACUGAAGCCUCAACAACAGGCCCUGAGCCAAAGCUGACCUUUAGAUAAACCUUCCAACCAAAUGUUAUAUUUGUAUCUGCUCAUUAAUGAAUCAUUAUUAGCAAUAUGAUUUCUGUAUGUGUUCAUUGGUGAAACACGGAUUUACCUUUCUGUGUUUGGAAACUGGACCAGGCCCCAUCUGGCCUUGUUUGGGGCUGUGGGAUCAAAGUCACCUCCCUUGGUUCCUCCUUGAGCCCUGGCCAGGCUUUGGAAGAAGCCAAACAGGACAAUUAAACCAGUUAUUCCCACACUAGCACUAAUGUCAGCUUCUUUGUUUAACAGUGUAAAAACUGGGCCCUCUCACAGCGAGGUUGGAGCCUCACUGGCUGCAAAGGUGGAGGCACCUGCAGGAAUUCCCAGUGUCCAGGAGUGGCUCUCCAGUCCGUGGCUGUGAAAGGGUUAAAAGCACUGUGCCUAGGCAUACUUGGGCAAGAAUAAGAGACAUUGCACCCAACAAGGAAGCUUGCAAAAAUUCAGCCACAAUCUAAAGACACAGGAUGAAACUUGGCAAGAAAUAGGGAACAAAGCUGGCAGAAAAGAAGAGCAGAGCUUGAUAAAACCAGUGAGGAAAUUGCUGAAACAGCCAACAAGAGACUGCUCAUGCCUAGAGGAGAAAGGUGAAAAGGGCACAGUGAUGAAGACGUCCAGCCUUCAUCAGGAGACCCCCGAGGAAGUCGCGGAGCCUUCCUCAGUGCCACCACCAGUGUGCACUGCACCUGUGCCUCGUGUAUGCUAAUGAUUGUAAUGAGUACUGAGAAAUCGUUUGCAUAACCACACCUUUUCUGAGGAGAAACAUGAAUAUGCAUAGAGUAUAACUGUAUAUUGUAAUCUGCUGUGUGCCUGUGUGCGCUGUCAGGAGGAGAUAUCCCUGCACACCUGGUGUGCUGAAUAAAGUAAAUCCCCUUCCUUGGACUUUGUCUGGGAAGUGUCUCUUGGCCUGGUUUGGGGCCAUUCACAUCCAUGGGGUUCUGUCAAGUCACAGUGGAACCUUGGUGCCCUGUUGUUGCACAGCCUCACAAUGCUCUCCUGCUGCCAUGAGGUCCCUCCCUCGGUGACACACUGCAGCCCUGGUUCCAUGAGGGGCUCUUGGGUUCCAUGGUGCACGCCUUUUUCACAUCUGAGCCUUGCUUCCAUGGGUUCCAUGGACUGACAGCGGCCCUCUGCAUUCCAUGGGGCCCAGCUAGAUCACAGCAGAGCCUGGCUUUCAUCAGGUUCUGAUACCUGUUCUGCCAGCUGAGUGGGGUGAUUUAAAGAACACAGAAACCAAUGGGAAGAAUGGUCUUAUUUUACUGUGAGUGUUAAGGCAAUGCAAAGUUAAAUUAUGCAUUCAAUAAAACUACCUGCUUGGCUUUAUCAACAAGCAAAAAGAAGCAAGGUAAUGCACCUAAUCAUUAUUACUGGAGACAAAGUGUAAUAAAUAGGUGUGAUUCAUGUUGAUACAAUUGAAACAGUAAUCAAUAUUGAUACACUAAUUAAUAUUUGGAAAUAAUAAAACAGUUAAAGGCAUAAUGCCAAGAAAGAAGGGGAGAGGAGGGGUUCCCCCCAGCCUAUCUCCUGCAGAUGUUCAGAACAGGAAGAAGCAAGAGAUAAGUAUUACUAAAUUUAGUUGGAAGAUAGGAAAAUUUGGUGGGACAUCAUGAAAAUGCUAAUUAUAUGAGAUUUAUUGCUUUGAUGCUGGAACAUAAUAUUGGCUUAUAUUAUAUUAGUUUUGGCUUACAUUAUACUAUCUUCCUGCACAUGUGUAUUCCAAAAGGGGAAUCAAAAUACAUCGAGGAAGAGGAGAGGCCUUCAUCAGGGAUGACCUCUAAUGAGUGGUGCGACCACCUAAAAAAUGGUGGAGCAUGCGUGGUAAAGGUGAUGAUGGGGGUGGAGAUACAAGUGUGACAAACCGAAAAUGGGAGGAGAUGGUAAUGACAUACAAUAUAAAAGAGGGAAUUUUGGCUUGGCAAGCUUGUAUGAGAGGUGACGGGGGUCAAGCCCUGAACUCCGUACCCCGCGCUAUCUCGCACGGUUAUUUUUGCUUAUGCGUUAUUAUUAAAACCAAACUGUCCCUUAUUUUAACCAAAUUACAUUGUCAAUAUUUCAAGUGUAUUCAAAUUUAUAUAUUUUAAGCUAUUUAAUUAAAAUUGCCCUUACAUAUAAUUUUGCUUUGUUUUUUUGAUGGGAUAAUUGGGCAAAUAUAACAAUGUGAAGAUCCAUUCAGAGAUCACGGGUUCAGCUGGCCUUUGGCUUUGUCUGCCUCAUUUCACAUGUCCAGUUUCAAGGGCCACUACAAGAGGCACAUGUUUGCCUUGCUACCCAGAAGUGCUCUAGUUAUUCCCAGGAAAACAAACCAAAAAUUGGCUGUCCUGUGCUGUGGUAGAAAUCCCACCACAAUUGUGACUCUGUGAGCAAAGACAACCGGUGCUUUUUGGGGCUGUAACAACGGAGAGUGUGGCAGAGCAGGUUUGAUAUUAUUUUAGAGUUCUGAAAUCAUUGUUCCCAAAACAGUCUUUCUCUCCUAUCUUCUGUCAUCAACUGUGGAACAGAGAAAAUGGAAAGGGGCAGGGGUUUGUUUAAAUUGGUGCUUUCUUUUUAAGUCUUCAAAUAGUGUCAGCUCGAUGCAUGAUACUUUAGAAAUUGGAUUAGUAGCACCUAUUUCAUGCCACCAGAGAGGUGGGAUUGAAGACUUCCAACAACAGAAACACUGGAUGUGCAAGAGCUCAGUUUUCCACCCCUCACACAAGUAACUUGCUAUACUAUUUUCAGCAGCCUCAGCCAGAUCGAUUAAAAUACUGCUCCAAACAACAACAGAAUGAAAAUGUUCCACCAAAUGGGGAAAAAGAAGACAAGUGGCCAGCAGCCCUUUCUGAAGAGCUUGUGUUGAUUUUGCAAAGUCAGAUGCAAACAAGACCUGGGAGGAGCAAAACAGGUUCCAGAGAAGCUGUGGUUGUGUCACCCUUGGAAGUGUUCAAGGCCACGUUGGAUGGGGCUUGGAGCAACCUGAUCUAGUGGAAGGUGUCCUGAGUCUGAGCUCUCACUUCAUUUCUGCUGUGGUUUGGAGCACGUGCUUCCCUCUUUCCUGAUGCCCUGCUCUUCUUUUGGCUCUGGGUGUCACGGACACUAUUAAUGGUGGGUUUUUUCCCCUCCAUCUUCUUCUGUUUCUUCAUGUGGUUUACCUUCAUUUACCUGUUGGAGUGAUGGAUUUUUCUCACCUUUUAUUACUCAGUGCUUUUUCUUCAUUCUCUAAUACCAACUUCUCACUUGCCCUGUGGCUGUUAGGUGCCAGUUAUGGGAGCAUGAAUUCUUUCUCUAGUGCUUGUCUGAGCUUUCACAGGCAGCUGAGAGCUCUUUGGGGUUCACCUUGACUCACUUCAGCGCCUUCCUUGGUGCUGCCUGUGUACUUGAACACUUGAAGGGAAUAAAGUCUCAGUGUGGAGAUGACAGUUGUGAAACGAUGGCCCUUUUGGAGAAGACAAGAAUGCUAUUGUCAAUCUUUUCAAGGAUAAAUGGAGAACCUGGUUUUGGGAGAAACCGGCUCAGCUCAGCGCAGAGGUGGCUGCUGCAGGUGCCCAGGUUUGGAGGGAAGGCUGCAGCUCCUGGGGGUGUGUUGGUGUGGGGCUAUAAGGUUUGUGCUGGGUCCCUGGAGCAGUGGGAACACCCCACAGGGAGAUGCACAUCAGGAAAUGGGUGCAUAAAAGGCCUGAAGUGUGACCAGCUUUGGUGAAGGGUUCCAUAGGAAAUAAUAUUUUUACUGAGAUUUUGGACAAUUUGAGGCUCCUUCUCGUGUCCUUUGCCCGAUGAACAUGCCCCUUUGCAAGAGCCUGGGGAAUGCAGAGCUCACACAAUGAAA
This is a long non-coding RNA of Passer domesticus (house sparrow), 5863 nucleotides long. RefSeq lists it as uncharacterized. The transcript is spliced from 3 exons. Lineage: Eukaryota; Metazoa; Chordata; Aves; Passeriformes; Passeridae. The record is from RefSeq and is a predicted model, not a curated record.